Molecule: non-coding RNA, 28 nt
Filed under: Rattus norvegicus (Norway rat)
Lineage: Eukaryota; Metazoa; Chordata; Mammalia; Rodentia; Muridae
Source: RNAcentral
UGUACACCAUCCCGUACUUGCCUAGAAA